This 465-nucleotide ribosomal RNA is filed under the name uncultured bacterium. RNAcentral's name for it is "bacterial SSU rRNA". It matches the Rfam family "Bacterial small subunit ribosomal RNA", at positions 339 to 797 of the family's 1533-position model. The record is from RNAcentral.
CUACGGGAGGCAGCAGUGGGGAAUUUUGCGCAAUGGGCGAAAGCCUGACGCAGCAACGCCGCGUGAGUGAUGAAGGUCUUCGGAUCGUAAAGCUCUUUCAGCCGGGACGAAACACCUGGAGCUAAUACCUCCGGGCUUGACGGUACCGGAAGAAGAAGCACCGGCUAACUCUGUGCCAGCAGCCGCGGUAAUACAGAGGGUGCGAGCGUUGUUCGGAAUUAUUGGGCGUAAAGCGCGUGUAGGCGGUGGUGCAUGUCGGGUGUGAAAGCCCUCGGCUUAACCGAGGAAGUGCGCCCGAAACUGCAUCGCUGGAGUGCCGGAGAGGGUGGCGGAAUUCCCGGUGUAGAGGUGAAAUUCGUAGAUAUCGGGAGGAACACCAGUGGCGAAGGCGGCCACCUGGACGGACACUGACGCUGAGACGCGAAAGCGUGGGUAGCAAACAGGAUUAGAAACCCCAGUAGUCCG